GCGACAAUAGCUCAGUUGGUAGAGCGGGACCUUGCCAAGGUUCAGGUCGAGAGUUCAAAUCUCUUUUGUCGCU
RNAcentral lists this transfer RNA (73 nucleotides) under Methanobrevibacter sp. RNAcentral describes it as "tRNA-Gly". It matches the Rfam family "tRNA". From Rfam's summary of the family: Transfer RNA (tRNA) molecules are approximately 80 nucleotides in length. Their secondary structure includes four short double-helical elements and three loops (D, anti-codon, and T loops). Lineage: Archaea; Methanobacteriati; Methanobacteriota; Methanobacteria; Methanobacteriales; Methanobacteriaceae. RNAcentral also lists the same sequence under 1 other name. The record is from RNAcentral.